AUUGAACGCUGGCGGCAUGCCUUACACAUGCAAGUCGAACGGCAGCACGGGUGCUUGCACCUGGUGGCGAGUGGCGAACGGGUGAGUAAUACAUCGGAACAUGUCCUGUAGUGGGGGAUAGCCCGGCGAAAGCCGGAUUAAUACCGCAUACGAUCUACGGAUGAAAGCGGGGGACCUUCGGGCCUCGCGCUAUAGGGUUGGCCGAUGGCUGAUUAGCUAGUUGGUGGGGUAAAGGCCUACCAAGGCGACGAUCAGUAGCUGGUCUGAGAGGCAGACCGGCCACACUGGGACUGAGACACGGCCCAGACUCCUACGGGAGGCAGCAGUGGGGAAUUUUGGGCAAUGGGCGAAAGCCUGAUCCAGCAAUGCCGCGUGUGUGAAGAAGGCCUUCGGGUUGUAAAGCACUUUUGUCCGGAAAGAAAUCCUUGGCCCUAAUACGGUCGGGGGAUGACGGUACCGGAAGAAUAAGCACCGGCUAACUACGUG
RNAcentral lists this ribosomal RNA (486 nucleotides) under uncultured bacterium. RNAcentral describes it as "partial 16S ribosomal RNA". It matches the Rfam family "Bacterial small subunit ribosomal RNA", at positions 30 to 507 of the family's 1533-position model. The record is from RNAcentral.